CUUGCGCCAGGGGAUCGGGGGCGCCGUCAGCAGCUGCCACUGCCGGACACCGGAAGUGAGGGGAGUGCGCGGAGCAUCAUGGGAGACACCCCGAGAAGGGGGUGGGGUGCGCGGUUGAGCGUUGGCCUUGCCGAGGGGCUGCGUCCCCCCCCGCCCCGCCGGGAUCCCCCUUUGGCCGGGCCCCUGAGGUGCCUCCUCGGGAGCAGCCCACCCCCCACCUGGCCCGCAGGUGCCUCAGUCUCCCCCGCCGCCCCCCCGCAUCAGGCCCAGCGCCCCCAGCCACCCCCAGAGCGCCCGCCGGGCAAGCAGGGAACUGGGGGGGGGUGUUCAGUUGCUAGCCCCCGCGGCGGCUCGGCGGGUUUGGAGGGUUAUUGGUAAAUGUCAGCAAAGAUGUCCAAAACCAAAUAACAAGCAUUCUGAGCUGAUAAGCUGCUUCGUCAGUUCUCAUUUUCAAGAGGCCAUUCUUACAGGGAUUUCCAUGCACCCUACAAAUGAAUCCCAAUCCUCAGAGCCAAUUCAUUUCUGACCAGAGCGGAAAGAAAGCAAUUUGACUGAGACCCAUUACCGCCCAACAUGGUGGUUCUGGUUGCAUGAAAAUUCCAAGACUCUCACCUUUUCCAGCCAAUUUUCCUCCAAACUGCUGAUGUUAAAAGUCUUUAUUUAAGAUGGACUCACUGUACAUCUGGAGAGAACAAGUGAUAUGGGCUUUUCUUUUUCCUGGAGUCCACCAAUCCAAUGGUGACAUGUUUAAAAUAAAUUUGAUUUCUCCUUUCCCUCUCCAACCCAUGUCCCUUCAUGCUGGCAAACUGUGAUACAGUUUACAGUGGUUCAGAUGCACUGUAUCAUUUUA
Mauremys mutica (yellowpond turtle) is the source of this 850-nucleotide long non-coding RNA. RefSeq lists it as uncharacterized. The transcript is spliced from 3 exons. The record is from RefSeq and is a predicted model, not a curated record. NCBI's taxonomy places the organism in Eukaryota, Metazoa, Chordata, Testudines, Geoemydidae.